This 568-nucleotide long non-coding RNA is filed under the name Helianthus annuus (common sunflower). Its description in RNAcentral is "sRNA HanXRQr2_Chr09g0367891". The record is from RNAcentral. Lineage: Eukaryota; Viridiplantae; Streptophyta; Magnoliopsida; Asterales; Asteraceae.
UUGUUACACAUCAGAACUUAAAUUGUUCAAAUGUAAGCUACUAUCUAUAGCUAAUACCAAUUUCUUACCAGAAACCAAAUUUCCUUAUAGUUAUCUCUGAAACCCCUAAUUCCCCGUUUGUUUCAGGUUUUCUUGUCUACUGAAACCACACAAAUUGAACAAAAAAAUGGCAAGUGCUUAAAUCAACAAAAAUCAAAACCCUAACCCUAGUUUUUGCAAUCAAAUAAGAAGCAAGAGAGAUGAACUCACGGGACUAAUCCAACCAGCUCUUGAGGAAUCCGUAUUUAUGCUUGAAUCAACAAAAUAAAUACAAUUUGUAUUUUCUUCAACAAAACCCUAACGCCGCUGAUUCUAUUUGAAGAUUAAUAGAAUUUAUGCUUGGUCGGUGGGAUUGAAGAAGAAGAUCUAGCAAUGAGGAUGAAUUCAAAGAAGAUGAAGAGAUUGAGCGUAUGAGUAUCACAAAGCGGCGUGAAGGAGAAGAAUGAGACAUUUAGGUUUUGAGAACAAUUAUAUAUGAUCCAAAAUCCGACCCAAAGAAUUAUGGAUCCCGCGUCCCAUCACGUAUUGC